UACGGAGGGUGCAAGCGUUAUCCGGAAUCACUGGGUUUAAAGGGUGCGUAGGCGGUGGUGUAAGUCAGUUGGGAAAUGCCCCGGCUUAACCGGCGGAACUGCGAUUGAUACUGCAUCACUUGAAUCAGGAUGAGGUAGGCGGAAUGUGGCAUGUAGCGGUGAAAUGCUUAGAUAUGCCAUAGAACACCGAUUGCGAAGGCAGCUUGCUGGGCCUGAAUUGACGCUGAGGCACGAAAGCGUGGGGAGCACACAGG
RNAcentral lists this ribosomal RNA (254 nucleotides) under uncultured bacterium. RNAcentral's name for it is "partial 16S ribosomal RNA". It matches the Rfam family "Bacterial small subunit ribosomal RNA", at positions 524 to 776 of the family's 1533-position model. The record is from RNAcentral.